Molecule: long non-coding RNA, 773 nt
Organism: Balaenoptera ricei (Rice's whale)
Lineage: Eukaryota; Metazoa; Chordata; Mammalia; Artiodactyla; Balaenopteridae
Exons: 3
Source: RefSeq, a predicted model, not a curated record
CGCCUCGCCUAUCCAGUGGGGCACAAAGAAAUCUCAGUCACUCCAUAAACUUUGUGCUUCCAGUUAUGCCGCCCCCUCCCCUAGCCUCCACCCCGCCCUUCCAGCUAUUUGGCAGGAAGGUUAGGCCACUGGCAAAAUCCUCUGCGAGAUCCAGCUGAUCACAAAUGCCAGCUGUAUGUCUUGGGGCCAGUUAAGUCCUCUCCUCUGCCCAGGCUCUCAGGAGACCAUUUCAUUGCUCUCAAGGUUCCAAGGAGACCGCUGCGGACGCGGACCAUCCCCCCACUUGGCCAGCACGGAUGGGAUGCUGAACAGCGUCCUAAAAGUGCUCUUUCUCACCUCGAGUUUUCAUUUUAGAUUGUAAAAAUUCCGAAUUUGGAGAGAGGCAGAUAUUUUUCUCCCAUCAGAAAGGAGGACCAUUAGCUAGUUCUUCUGCCACAGGGAAGCAACCAGCGACUAAUAAAAGAUUUGAUCUUGCCAUAAUUUCCCAAGCAGGACUUCCCUGGUGGCACAGUGGUUAAGAAUCAGCCUGCCAAUGCAGGGGACACAGGCUCGAUCGCUGGUCUGGGAAGAUCCCACAUACCACAGAGCAACUAAACCCGUGCGCCACAACUACUGAGCCCACGAGCCACCACUACUGAAGCCUGCAUGCCUAGAGCCUGUGCUCUGCAACAAGAGAAGCCACUGCAAUGCGAAGCCCGCGCACCACAAUGAAGAGCAGCCCCCGCUCGCUGCAACUAGAGAAAGCCCGUCCCCAGCAACAAAAACCCAACACA